RNAcentral lists this ribosomal RNA (253 nucleotides) under uncultured bacterium. RNAcentral's name for it is "partial 16S ribosomal RNA". It matches the Rfam family "Bacterial small subunit ribosomal RNA", at positions 524 to 776 of the family's 1533-position model. The record is from RNAcentral.
UACAGAGGGUGCGAGCGUUAAUCGGAAUUACUGGGCGUAAAGCGCGCGUAGGCGGCUUUGCAAGUCGGGUGUGAAAUCCCCAGGCUUAACCUGGGAACUGCAUUCGAGACUGCAUUGCUAGAGUAUGGGAGAGGGAAGUGGAAUUUCCGGUGUAGCGGUGAAAUGCGCAGAUAUCAGGAGGAACACCAGUGGCGAAGGCGGUGCUCUGGGCCGGAACUGACGCUGAGGAGCGAAAGCGUGGGGAGCAAACAGG